UCUUGAAUAACUGCUUCCUGGGAUCAUGGUCCACUUCCUGUCCACAUCAUCCAUAAAAAGAUGUCCUCUUAUGAUUUUUUAAUGUAUUUUAAUUUGUUAUUUUGGUUUUUGAAAGUAGCCGAAACCCUGUUGUGAUAGCUGUAUAACAAUUCCUGUGUGGUACGACAAAUGAUGGUCAUAGAAAGCAGUUAUGCAAACAAUUUGUCUGCAGAAGAAAAACACAUUUUGAUUUAAUGAGUACUCUCACUGAACAUGUUCCUUUGUGUUAGCUUGUGGGUGUAUCAUUUGUUACUGUUGGAAAAAUAUUGUUCUUUUACCUUUCUUAGUAUAAUGAUGAUGAUAAGGAAAUAGUGCCCGCUUUAGGCUGAUGCCUAAAUAGAUAAGUGGACAAAUAAGAAGCCCACAGGAAAAACAGGCGUAGUCACAAGAUGGAAAACAUGAAUAUAGAUGCAUCAAUUUUAAAAGCGUGCAGACUCAACUUCCUUUCUGUAUUCAACUGUUGGUUGAUUACUUAUGUUCAAUUUCCCAUUCAACUUUUGUUGUUUUUCCUUUGACUUUGAAGUUUGCCGUGACUUCACGAAUUGGUCUGUUGAGGGUGAGUGUGGUUUCAAAGAUGACGGACUAGGCCUAUUCAGGCUCAAAAGGUUCAUGUGCAGUGUGGGGACAGGUGUGGUCAGCUGUUGGACUUGUGGUGGAGGCAGGUCUGGACUUGCUCUUGUUCGUUUUCGUUUGGCUUUGGCGAUUCGCUUGGCUUCUGCUACUUUGGCUGCCUUUGUUAGUUUGCAGCGCCAGGUCGGGCGAUCUAGGGCUAGUGUUUCUCUUGAGUUGUUCAAGAUUCCAAGUGUUUUUAGUGAGACAUUGGAAUCUGUCCUUGAAACGUUUUUUUCUUUCCUCCAACUGAGUGCUUGCCAUGAUACAGCUCCCCAUACAUCAGCUGUUUGGGCUGUCCGCCAUUCUGACUACGUGGCCGGCCUCCUGACUUGAGUUUUCUGGAGGAGGGUGUAGAUGCAUUGGAUAUCAACCCGCUCUAAAAUGUCCGUGUCUGGGGCUUUGCCCUGCCAUCUGAUGUGAAGGAGUUUACGGAGACAUCUCAGUUUGAGUUGAUUGAGCUGAUUUGUGUGUCUGUUGUAGACAGUCCAGGUUUCACUAGCGUAGAGAAGGGUGGUAAGAACCACUGCCUGGUAGACCUUCAGCUUUGUGGAGAGGCUAAGGCCUCUGCGCUCCCAGACAUUCUGGCGGAGUCUCCCAAAGGCAGCGCUAGCCUUGGCAACUCCAUAAAUUUCAGCACCUAUCUUAACAGCAAGUGCUGCCUGGAGUUUCUGUUCCUUCACCAUGAUUUCACUUUCAGGCACUUUGUAUGGUUGUCGGGGACCUGGUUUUCGAUUUUCUUAGUACUGAUUGUGAGGCCGAAGUUGUCAAAGGCUAAGGUGAAACAGUUCAUUUCCUUUUGCAUGCACUCUCUCUGUGCUAGCAUUGAGUGCACAGUCCUCAGUGGAAAGAAGUUCCCUGAUGACCGUUCCCUUCAUCUUGAUUAUGGCCUGGAAGCACCUAAUGUUGAACAAUCUGCCGUCAGUUUUGUAUCUGAUUCAGAUGCCAUCUUCACGAAAAUCUCUCACAUAGUUUAGCCAGUCAGUCAAAACCAUUGCCCUGUGUGUGGCCACUGCCGUACACUAGCAGUAUCCGUGGGGCCAUACGUGAGCUAUGUACAAGAGUGGGGAUCAAGUAGGGUCAUGACCCUCCUUACAGGGUGUGACUUUCAUUCAUUGGGGUGUUUGGUUCAGGGGGAGGGGUAGGACCUCUUGGUGAAUGACAGAAUGACCAUUCAGCUAACAAUAAAAUGAAACCAACUGUCAAACGUAAAUAAGCUUUUUAAAGUGCUACCCUCAUGAUUUUCACUUUGUGACUGCUUUUUUUUCCUAUGGACUCCUGUAAUGUAUUGUUGGUUUUGUGAAGGCGUUCAAGACUGCUCGACUGCUCAGUAUAAGCCUCCACCAUACACCACUUUUCACAAUGGUGCAUGGCAGAGUCUUAUGCAAAGCAGUGGAGUUGCAUAAGAUAUUUGAGCCAAGAUAUAGGUGCUUUGGACUCACAGGGUUUCUUUGCCAUGACUGUUACUGUGUCCUCUCCAUAAAAGUGCUUAAUAGCAUAUUUUAGUCAUCACUGAAGUAUGUAGUAAAGUUCUCAAACUUACAUGUUAUGUUCCCAUUCUUAGUCAAAGUCAUAUUUCGAUUUUAUUGUAUUGUGAGUCUAGGAUUUGGAUAUUCAAUUAUCACUGCUGACAGACAAAAUGCUAAAUGAUCAUGCUGCCUGUGUUUAUAUAUAUGGGCUGAUGUUUGUUUUCAUUCUCUUAAAAAAGGGAAAAAGUAGUUUUGAAAAACUCAUACUUCAGUUUUUGCUAAGAUGAUGUAUAACUCAACUUUCAUAUGGUUUGUCUCCCUGUUGAACUGAGAUAAUGACGUCCAUUUAACUGACUGAAGGCUGCAUAGUGCUUCAAAGAGUUUAGGAGACAAAAAUAGUCAGAUAUGGUUUCUUCUCAACUUUUUCUCUCCCCUAUUCCUAUGAUGCUCAUAUAUAUUUGUGUUCAAUUAGGUAAUGUGCUUUUUCAAAGUUCUUCCGUAGAUCAAAUGUUUUUAUAUACGUGAUCUUCAAUGAUAUUUAUGUCAAGGAAUAAAUGCUCAUUUUCCAUAGGAUCAUUCAAAUUGUCUUUGAGAUUAUCAGUUAAGCAAAAGUUAUUACUGCCAUAUGACAACUUUUUAAUUGAGUUGUGCUCUUAGUAAUGUUUGUGUGUCUUAAGUCUGUUGGAUAAUGUUUUUAUUGACAUAUAGCAUAUUCUUAAUAUUUUAAUUUGAUUCUCAACAAUAACACUGGCUUAAAAGUGUCAAUAUCAUGAUUGUGUGUUUGUAAAAAGUUAAAAUUUACUCAGUGUAUGAAUUGUGAAACCUCAUUGUAGUUGUUCUCUUUUGUGUGAGCAAGUUCUGCUGUAGCAGACCUGCCAAGUAUUCUGAUAAAAUAGGAGCCCUCCAAUUUUGUUUUGCCUAUGGAAGAACCUUGAUGGGAUUUGCUUGAAAUCCGAUUCAUUAGUUGAAAUCUGUUUCCAUAAGUCAUACAGAACUUAUUCAAAAUGAUAUAGAUAUGCACCAGGUUUAUUUGCAUUUAUUUGCAACUUUUGCAAAAAUUAUGGCACAUGAGUUGAAAAUACUCAUAUUCAUUUGCGUGUGUUUGCGUGUAUUUGCAAUAUACAUGUUUAUAUGCCAUGAUCGGAUGGCAACAUAAUCUGAAUCUACAGGGGUUCUGAAGAUUGAUUUUUUCCCCCUCUAGCUUCUAUUUUUAAGGUUUGGGGAAAGCUCUUUAUAUUUUUGCAUGGAGGCGUUGGAAGGUCUGCUGUUGUAGUACCAGAGAGUGGAGUUGGAAGGUCUGCUGUUGUAGUACCAAAGAGUGGAGUUGGAAGGUCUGCUGUUGUAGUACCAAAGAGUGGAGUUGGAAGGUCUGCUGUUGUAGUACCAGAGAGUGGAGUUGGAAGGUCUGCUGUUGUAGUACCAGAGAGUGGAGUUGGAAGGUCUGCUGUUGUAGUACCAGAGAGUGGAGUUGGAAGGUCUGCUGUUGUAGUACCAAAGAGUGGAGUUGGAAGGUCUGCUGUUGUAGUACCAAAGAGUGGAGUUGGAAGGUCUGCUGUUGUAGUACCAGAGAGUGGAGUUGGAAGGUCUGCUGUUGUAGUACCAGAGAGAGGCGUUGGAAGGUCUGCUGUUGUAGUACCAAAGAGUGGAGUUGGAACAGUCUGCUGUUGUAGUACCAGAGAGUGGAGUUGGAACAGUCUGCUGCAGGGGAUGCCAGUACUCUUGUAUCACUGCUUUAACUGUUGUAAGGGGAACAGAGUAUAUUUUUAUGCCCACAAUUUUAAGAGCCCACUUUCUUACAGGUUAGCAUAGAUAGCUGGAAACAGUUGAAAGAAUAUUUGCAUUAUGUUCUAAAGAUGUAAACAGUUACAUUAUAUCAAGUCUAUUAAGUUGUUUUGGUAGGAAUGUUCAGUCUCCAUAAAGGUGUAAAAUCUAGCUUGUCUUAAAAUUGUUUUUCUUGUUGGUAGAUGUGACACCUGAAUAGUUUGUACCUUGUCUUUAAAAAAAUUUUUUUUUUUUUUGCCGCAAAA
RNAcentral lists this long non-coding RNA (4144 nucleotides) under Aplysia californica (California sea hare). RNAcentral describes it as "uncharacterized LOC101861449". The record is from RNAcentral. Lineage: Eukaryota; Metazoa; Mollusca; Gastropoda; Aplysiida; Aplysiidae.